This 386-nucleotide ribosomal RNA is filed under the name uncultured bacterium. RNAcentral's name for it is "bacterial SSU rRNA". It matches the Rfam family "Bacterial small subunit ribosomal RNA", at positions 981 to 1363 of the family's 1533-position model. The record is from RNAcentral.
CUGACAUCCCCCUGACGGGCCGAUGAACACGAGCCAUGUCCUCGGGACACGGGAACAGGUGGGCAAGGUCGUUGCUCAGGCUUGCUGGUUCGUGAGAUGUUGGGUUAAGUCCCGCAACGAGCGCAACCCUUAUCCUUAGUAGCCAGCAGGUAAGCUGGGCACUCUAGGGAGACUGCCAGGGAUAACCUGGAGGAAGGUGGGGAUGACGUCAAAUCAUCAUGCCCCUUAUGAUUUGGGCUACACACGUGCUACAAUGGCGUAAACAAAGGGAAGCGAGACAGUGAUGUGGAGCAAAUCCCAAAAUACGUCCCAGUUCGGACUGUAGUCUGCAACCCGACUACACGAAGCUGGAAUCGCUAGUAAUCGCUGAUCAGAUGUCCGUGAUA